AUGUAUCAUUCUCAGACUUUGACCAGGGGACAACUGCUACUUAUCUUCUGUACAUUUAAAGAAAAAUCCCUGAAACCUGUAAAAGGUAAGCUCCACCCAACCUUGUCAAGACAACUCAACCCUGCUCCUGUACUUUCUGAAGUUCAAGACAGUGACAGUAAUCCUCAGCCUGAGGGUCAGCAUCAGUGCUACUGCCCAAGUAUCCCUUACAAGAAUGGGAGAGUGACAGCACAGGAUCUGGCAGAGAGCCCGGGACAAGGACUGAUAACUGGUAACAUGGACAGAUUACUUCAUCCUGGUCAGGUACUAUGCUAAGC
RNAcentral lists this long non-coding RNA (317 nucleotides) under Chinchilla lanigera (long-tailed chinchilla). Its description in RNAcentral is "lncRNA (ENSCLAG00000028015.1)". The record is from RNAcentral. Lineage: Eukaryota; Metazoa; Chordata; Mammalia; Rodentia; Chinchillidae.